Equus asinus (donkey) is the source of this 2371-nucleotide long non-coding RNA. Lineage: Eukaryota; Metazoa; Chordata; Mammalia; Perissodactyla; Equidae. The record is from Ensembl.
CGAACCAAUCCCCUCCAUUUAAGCUAACAGCUUUAGGCUCACCUAAAUUGAUGUUUAUUCAUCUAUAGCUUUUCUCAUAAUAUUUCUAUGGGGAUUCAGUAAUAUUGUAUUUGUAAAGCAUCCUCCACAGUAUCUAAAACCUAAUAGAUGCUUUUCCCCUGCAUCUACUGCAUCUUUGAAACUGAUAUCCAGUGUGACUUUUUUUACCCAAUUUCUGGUAUUGAUCCAUGACACUCAGCUGUCUCACCUGGCUCCACACAAACCUUAGCCUUGCCUAAACCUCCAGGCCCUCCCUUCCAGAGUCUUCUUCCUUCUAAGACACCUAGCCUGCCUGGACAUGUACCUUCUGAGCAUGCUACAGUCACUGUCAUGUAUUCUCUUCCUUCUCCCCUCUCCUCCUCUCUGUCAAGUUCUGUGCUGACCUCAGGCCCCCACACCAUAGGCUAGAAAAUGAGGCCAAAUGAGUUUAAUGCAUGAUGGUGACUCAUUUGUUUUCUCCAGUGUUCACGACACAGGAGUUUCCCCCUCUCCGCACAGGGAAAGCAAGUGUCUCUUACAGAUGACUCAUGCUGGCUCCCAUCUCUCCCUCCCGCUCCCCUGGACUGGAGGAGGAAAAGGACAAGGAGUAGCAGCCACCUCCUCACCCCUCCCUCCCGCAGCAAAGUGAAUCAGAGACUCAGCAAACAGCUGGAUAAUAUAAGGAAACUGACAUCCACAGACGUUAAAUAAACUUCCCAAGAUUACACAUUAUGUAAAAGAUGGAGCCAGGAUUCAGUCCCAGACAGAUGAAAAGGUGACAGUCGAAGCCAAUCAUUGAACAGCUGAGUUAAGAAGCAGAGGAAUGAGUGAGCGCCCUGAAGGUUCCUGUGGAGUUCGUGGAGUGUGGAAUACAGGCAAGUGGUACAGAGCAGCCCCUCUGGUCUGAGGCCUACUUCCUCCGCUGCUAGGAUGUGUGCUUGGGCAAGUAAACAACACUGUGCUCCAGCUUCCUCACCUGUAAAACAAGGAUUAUAAGCGUGCCCACACCCAGGGCUGGUGGCCACGGAUACACACCGUGGGGAGUAGCAGUGCUUUACAGCUGAUGUCCAUUCUGACUCGACGGUCACCAAUCAUGACCAUGCCAGCUCCUCUCCCACUACUCAUUCCGUGUGAGUCUACAGUGUCUGCAAGCACAGUUUGCUGCCCUCCAGCUACAUUACCCAGAUGCAACAAAUCACGGUGCUCAACAAUGUUUGUUAACCGACUGUCUCACGUUCGGAUGUACAUAAUUUCUAAAGGGAAUACUGAAAAUUGGAUACAGGACGUGAAACACAGUGGUGGCAGAUAUUUCCAUCCCUAUUAUUCACUACUCUAUCUUCAGGAUCUGGCACAGAUAAAUAUCAAGCGUCUAAAAAAAUAUGAAAAGAACUUCCAGCUUUCUUUACCAUAGCACCAGGGACAAUGUCUCUGCUUUUCGGCUCCCAUUUUGUUGGGCAUAGUAUUCUUUUUCCAGUGGACAUUUCAGACCAUGAGACUAGAAGAACACCUGUGCUCAAGAGAGUUGGCGAGGAAGAUGAGUGGCACACGGCUUAUCCGGGCUCCGUCUUGAUGGCUCUGGGUGCUAGCUACAACAGACCACAGCUCCAUGCAGACCUAUGAGCACCUAAUCAGAGCCACACACGCCAUGGGCCAGUGAAAACUUCUCAGAAGAGAUUGGUUCCAGAAGCAACUUAACUUCCCCAUUGAUUACUGACUAGAAUGGACCAUCCUAGUCCACAAAAGAUGAAUCUGAAAAAUCUCCAGGUAUAGCGAGGGGAGUGCAAAUCAAUGAGGCCCUGGUGGCAACAUGGAACGAACAUAGUCCUUACACCAGGCAGCUCUGCCACCUGACUUUUGCUGUACUGGAUCCAGAUGUUCUGAUUUUUUCAAGAAAAGCCAGACUUCAGAUUUCAUGUGAAAUCUCUCAAAUGCAAAAAGUUGGCCUCUAACUCAAAUUUAAAACAACCACGACCAUACGCUGUGAGCCAAACAAAACAGCUUCUAACCACACUCAGCUGGGAUUCAACCCCUGCCUUACAGGCUGGGGAAAACUAAAUCCAAUUCUGAGAAGAGUAAACCAAAAUAACCAGACUUCUGCCUUCCUUAAUCUCCUGUUAAAUUCCUUCCUUCCAGAAAACAGUCUUCAUGCACGGGUCAGAAAGCUCGGCCGUCAUGUACUCAGAUUCCCUCAUCUUCAAACUCAGCAUCAGAGUGAGCAUGUUCCAUCUCGCAACUUGCUGGGCAGGGCCAGGGGAGGUUUGCUCACCCUUAGCAGGCCCUAAGUGUCCUUGGCAUCUGCAAUGGGGUUCUGUCCUUGAUGCCUGGCCUGAAUACAGUUGCAGCCCAGCUCGCC